Molecule: transfer RNA, 77 nt
Filed under: Acidocella sp.
Lineage: Bacteria; Pseudomonadati; Pseudomonadota; Alphaproteobacteria; Acetobacterales; Acidocellaceae
Also listed under: 2 other names
Description: tRNA-Arg
Rfam family: tRNA
About the family: Transfer RNA (tRNA) molecules are approximately 80 nucleotides in length. Their secondary structure includes four short double-helical elements and three loops (D, anti-codon, and T loops).
Source: RNAcentral
GCGCUCGUAGCUCAGCUGGAUAGAGCAUCAGACUACGAAUCUGAGGGUCAGGAGUUCGAAUCUCUUCGGGCGCGCCA